AGUAAAACGAUUCGCGAUUCGUGAAUCGUUUAGAAUAGAUGGUUCAUACACGCACUUAAUUACUUGAAGCGGUAAAACUAUAACACGAAUAAGAAGUACAAAAACACUAGAUAAAGUGGGAAUAUGUACCUAUCCAUUAAAAAAAAAGCCUGAAAAGUGUCCUACCGUUUGCCUGUGAUGGAGAAGAUCAUGAUUAAGGGCAACACCUGCAGCUUGUGAACGACUCAGGUACGUUGAAGAAUCCACAGUCUUCUGUCAUCUCUUCCCCAUUCUCAGAGGGGUUUCCUGCACCAGCUUCCUUCCUUUGAGGUGCUAAUCAGCUAACGCAAGAUCUGAAGUGGAUGCCAGUAGUGGUUGUCUGUGAGCCCCGCCCCCUUUCAAGCAGGCCCCCAGCAAGAGACACUGAGCCCAUUAGCAUGAGGAGAGCACUUGAGUGCCAGCGCUACAAGCAAAGAGGAAGCCCAAAGAAAGGAAAGGUACCAAGAUGGCCAGGUUUCUCUUAUUCAGAAGCCUGUCUGCCUUGUCCUGGAAAAAGAAGGAGCUGUUACACAAAACCAGGGUUGGUACAGCAUGCUACUGAAAAAAGAUUGUGUAGGAGGGUUGAUGAAUGGAAAGAGCUAGAGGAUGAACGUGGGGAGAGGGGAAUGAACACCAUUUUUCUUCCCGCGCUACCUCAAGUUCUCGCAGGAUCCCGGAUUGGCCGCACGUCUCCAAGUCUUCGAGCGCUUGGGACCAGAAGUUCUCUUCCUGGUCAGGCUCAGUCCCGUCGUGUCCCACAGUGAACCUGUUUGAAACACAAAAGGGACUUAUUGACCGCCUGGUACAUCAAAACAGCAGCAGGCAAUGAGCAGGCAGGUGUCACUGUGAUGAACGCAAGGGACGACCAAUGAUCUGUGCAGGCUAUGGUGGGGCUCUUGAAGAGAGACACAUACACACACACCCGGUACGGUCGGACACACUGUGAUGGGCGGUGAUGUCCUGGUGGAUCGUGGGGCUUUGGGUUAUGAAGUGAAAGGGCCGGAUUGGUUCGGGGAAGCAGUGCAGGUUAACAGGCACAUAGCACUGAACCUCACCUGCUGUCUGAGAUUAAACCGGUGGGCAGCGUGGAUGCCCUGUAAUGGGAGAUCAGCUUCAAUCAAUAACACAAACGUCAAA
Cyprinus carpio (common carp) is the source of this 1155-nucleotide long non-coding RNA. RefSeq lists it as uncharacterized. The transcript is spliced from 3 exons. The record is from RefSeq and is a predicted model, not a curated record. NCBI's taxonomy places the organism in Eukaryota, Metazoa, Chordata, Actinopteri, Cypriniformes, Cyprinidae.